AAGGAAAGCUCCCUGCACCUGGAGACACCAUUUUGACCAUCUCUUUUGUGAGAUGUCAUGUGGUUUUUAUUAAUUUAGGCGCUGGACACCCUCUGCUGUGGCUUUCCCCUGAGCCCUGGAUGGCUGAUCAACUCAUUUACUCUGAGGAACUCAUGACUGAUCAUGGCUCGUUGUGAGGAUGGAUUAGAAUGAGGCACAGAAAGCUCUUAGCACAGAAGCAUUAGCUCCACCGCGAGCCUGCUGCAGACAGCCAUGGGCAUGAUCUGGCCCCCGGACUUUCAC
RNAcentral lists this long non-coding RNA (282 nucleotides) under Equus caballus (horse). Its description in RNAcentral is "lncRNA (ENSECAG00000056758.1)". The record is from RNAcentral. Lineage: Eukaryota; Metazoa; Chordata; Mammalia; Perissodactyla; Equidae.